UACACACGUGUUACAAUGGGGGGUACAGAGGGCCGCUACCACGCGAGUGGAUGCCAAUCCCUAAAACCCCUCUCAGUUCGGACUGGAGUCUGCAACCCGACUCCACGAAGCUGGAUUCGCUAGUAAUCGCGCAUCAGCCACGGCGCGGUGAAUACGUUCCCGGGCCUUGUACACACCGCCCGUCAAGCCAUGGGAGCCGGGGGUACCUGAAGUGCGUAACCGCGAGGAUCGCCCUAGGGUAAAACUGGUGACUGGGGCUAAGUCGUAACAAGGUACC
RNAcentral lists this ribosomal RNA (277 nucleotides) under uncultured bacterium. RNAcentral describes it as "partial 16S ribosomal RNA". It matches the Rfam family "Bacterial small subunit ribosomal RNA", at positions 1215 to 1500 of the family's 1533-position model. The record is from RNAcentral.